RNAcentral lists this ribosomal RNA (164 nucleotides) under uncultured bacterium. RNAcentral's name for it is "partial 16S ribosomal RNA". It matches the Rfam family "Bacterial small subunit ribosomal RNA", at positions 392 to 539 of the family's 1533-position model. The record is from RNAcentral.
CCAUGCCGCGUGUGUGAAGAAGGCCCGAGGGUUGUAAAGCACUUUCAAUUGUGAGGAAGGGUGUAGGAUUAAUACUUCUGCAUUUUUGACGUUAACUUUAGAAGAAGCACCGGCUAACUCUGUGCCAGCCACUGCGGUGACUGAGCGGGCUGGCAAGGCGCAUA